Molecule: non-coding RNA, 31 nt
Filed under: Rattus norvegicus (Norway rat)
Lineage: Eukaryota; Metazoa; Chordata; Mammalia; Rodentia; Muridae
Source: RNAcentral
UCCCAGAGUGGUUUGGCUUCUUGGAGCCCUU